Molecule: small nucleolar RNA, 135 nt
Organism: Sarcophilus harrisii (Tasmanian devil)
Lineage: Eukaryota; Metazoa; Chordata; Mammalia; Dasyuromorphia; Dasyuridae
Gene: SNORA75
Rfam family: Small nucleolar RNA SNORA75
About the family: U23 belongs to the H/ACA class of snoRNAs. snoRNAs bind a number of proteins (including dyskerin, Gar1p and Nop10p in the case of the H/ACA class) to form snoRNP complexes.
Source: Ensembl
GCCUUCUCAUUGAGCUCCUCCUUGUCUGCCAGUGACGGGGUAUGGAUUCGCACGAGAAGAACAUGAACUUCAUGCCUUGUGUAGUCGUGUCCCCCGCCAUCUCGGGGGAGGCUCCUGCCAGGCCGUGGGACAAGU